UACGGGGGGAGCAAGCGUUGUUCGGAUUUACUGGGCGUAAAGGGCGCGUAGGCGGCCUGUGCAAGUCAGUUGUGAAAUCUCCGGGCUUAACUCGGAACGGUCAACUGAUACUGCUCGGCUAGAGUGCGGAAGGGGCAACUGGAAUUCUUGGUGUAGCGGUGAAAUGCGUAGAUAUUCGGAAGAACACCAGUGGCGAAGGCGACUUACUGGACGACUGUUGACACUGAGGUGCGAAAGCGUGGGGAGCAAACAGG
Molecule: ribosomal RNA, 254 nt
Filed under: uncultured prokaryote
Description: partial 16S ribosomal RNA
Rfam family: Bacterial small subunit ribosomal RNA
Source: RNAcentral